CUGCUGCCUCCCGUAGGAGUCUGGUCCGUGUCUCAGUACCAGUGUGGGGGACCUUCCUCUCAGAACCCCUAGACAUCGUCGCCUUGGUGGGCCGUUGCCCCGCCAACUAGCUAAUGUCACGCAUGCCCAUCCGUUGCCGGAAUCGCUCCCUUUGGCCGCAGGGCCAUGCAGCCCCGCGGCGUUACGCGGUAUUAGACGGGAUUUCUCCCGAUUAUCCCCCUGCAACGGGCAGGUCGCAUACGCGUUACUCACCCGUGCCG
This 260-nucleotide ribosomal RNA is filed under the name uncultured bacterium. RNAcentral describes it as "partial 16S ribosomal RNA". The record is from RNAcentral.